ACGCGCGGAACCUUACCAGGUCUUGACAUCCCAUUGACCGCUAUGGAGACAUAGCUUUCCCUUCGGGGACAGCGGUGACAGGUGGUGCAUGGUUGUCGUCAGCUCGUGUCGUGAGAUGUUGGGUUAAGUCCCGCAACGAGCGCAACCCUUGAUCUUAGUUGCCAGCAUUUAGUUGGGCACUCUAAGGUGACUGCCGGUGACAAACCGGAGGAAGGUGGGGAUGACGUCAAAUCAUCAUGCCCCUUAUGACCUGGGCUACACACGUGCUACAAUGGAUGGUACAAAGGGCUGCAAAACCGCGAGGUCGAGCAAAUCCCAUAAAACCAUUCUCAGUUCGGAUUGUAGGCUGCAACUCGCCUACAUGAAGCUGGAAUCGCUAGUAAUCGCGGAUCAGCAUGCCGCGGUGAAUACGUUCCCGGGCCUUGCACACACCGCCCGU
Molecule: ribosomal RNA, 439 nt
Filed under: uncultured bacterium
Lineage: Bacteria
Description: bacterial SSU rRNA
Rfam family: Bacterial small subunit ribosomal RNA
Source: RNAcentral